GACGAACGCUGGCGGCGUGCUUAACACAUGCAAGUCGAACGGAAAGGCCCUGCUUUUGUGGGGUGCUCGAGUGGCGAACGGGUGAGUAACACGUGAGUAACCUGCCCUUGACUUUGGGAUAACUUCAGGAAACUGGGGCUAAUACCUGAUAGGAGCUCCUGCUGCAUGGUGGGGUUUGGAAAGUUUCGUCGGUUGGGGAUGGACUCGCGGCUUAUCAGCUUGUUGGUGGGGUAGUGGCUUACCAAGGCUUUGACGGGUAGCCGGCCUGAGAGGGUGACCGGCCACAUUGGGACUGAGAUACGGACCAGACUCCUACGGGAGGCAGCAGUGGGGAAUAUUGCACAAUGGGCGGAAGCCUGAUGAAGAAACGCCGCGUGCGGAAUGACGGCCUUCGGGUUGUAAACCGCUUUAGCCUGUGACGAAGCGUGAGUGACGGUAAUGGGUAAAGAAGCACCGGCUAACUACGUG
Molecule: ribosomal RNA, 468 nt
Filed under: uncultured bacterium
Lineage: Bacteria
Description: partial 16S ribosomal RNA
Rfam family: Bacterial small subunit ribosomal RNA
Source: RNAcentral